AGCGAACGCUGGCGGCAGGCCUAACACAUGCAAGUCGAACGAACCUUUCGGGGUUAGUGGCGGACGGGUGAGUAACACGUGGGAACGUGCCUUUAGGUUCGGAAUAACUCAGGGAAACUUGUGCUAAUACCGAAUGUGCCCUUCGGGGGAAAGAUCUAUCGCCUUUAGAGCGGCCCGCGUCUGAUUAGCUAGUUGGAUGAGGUAAUGGCUCACCAAGGCGACGAUCAGUAGCUGGUCUGAGAGGAUGAUCAGCCACAUUGGGACUGAGACACGGCCCAAACUCCUACGGGAGGCAGCAGUGGGGAAUCUUGCGCAAUGGGCGAAAGCCUGACGCAGCCAUGCCGCGUGAAUGAUGAAGGUCUUAGGAUUGUAAAAUUCUUUCACCGGGGACGAUAAUGACGGUACCCGGAGAAGAAGCCCCGGCUAACUUCGUG
RNAcentral lists this ribosomal RNA (434 nucleotides) under uncultured bacterium. RNAcentral's name for it is "partial 16S ribosomal RNA". It matches the Rfam family "Bacterial small subunit ribosomal RNA", at positions 29 to 507 of the family's 1533-position model. The record is from RNAcentral.